RNAcentral lists this ribosomal RNA (227 nucleotides) under uncultured bacterium. RNAcentral describes it as "partial 16S ribosomal RNA". It matches the Rfam family "Bacterial small subunit ribosomal RNA", at positions 109 to 334 of the family's 1533-position model. The record is from RNAcentral.
AGUAACACGUGGUCAACCUUCCCUUUUGUGGGGGAUAACUAGCCGAAAGGUUAGCUAAUACCGCAUACGAUCUACGCCGGGCAUCCGAUGUAGAUGAAAGAAGCAAUUCGCAAAAGGAUGGGACCGCGUCCCAUUAGCUAGAUGGUGGGGUAAUGGCCUACCAUGGCUCCGAUGGGUAGCUGGUUUGAGAGAGCGACCAGCCACACUGGGACUGAGAAACGGCCCAG